This 3074-nucleotide unclassified non-coding RNA is filed under the name Helicoverpa zea (corn earworm). RNAcentral describes it as "uncharacterized protein KIAA0930 homolog, transcript variant X3". The record is from RNAcentral. Lineage: Eukaryota; Metazoa; Arthropoda; Insecta; Lepidoptera; Noctuidae.
CGUGGCAACAUUAGAUACAUUCCUGAAUUUUAUGUUUCAUGCACGCUGGUGAAUAGAGUUCGUCAUGAAAAUAAAAACAUAAAUGAUAAUUUUUUUCGAUAUUGAUAUUAUAGAAUUAGUAAUUACAUCGUUGGGUUAUGUGCCUAGAGUAUAAGAUUUGAAUUUUUCUAAAACAAAAAUAUAAUAUUGAGCUGGUGUUGGAAUGUGUUGUGUUGACACUUGAAAGUGUUUGUUUGGAAGAAGCAUCUUGAAUUAUAUAUUUCUGGCUGAAGAAUGGCACUGGGAGGAUCGACCUACUUGAAAAGCACCACAAUGCUGGAGCAACUCUUGGAGGAAAUUAAUUUUCAAAGGACGAAGGAGAUGCGUCAGCUGAUGAAGGAUGAUUGUGGUUUCGUAGUGCUACAAGGAACGACAUAUUGGACAGAUCUGUUCGUGCGGCACUUUCUGUUUCAAGAGGAGCAGUCGAUAGACUGUGACGAUUUGUUGUUUUUUGUAAGAAAACGCCACGUGAAGGGCUCCUCGCGCUACCUGCCAAAGUACGAGACCGACGUCGAGGUGUUCCGGAAGGAUUCCAAGAAGCUGCCCAUCGGAGACCCAGAGAUAGACUGGGAGGAGACGGUCUACCUUAAUCUGAUCGUGCAUCAGUUUGACUACACGCUAACGCUGGCCAUCUGCACGCGGACCAGUCCCAAGGAGCUGCAGGUCCUCAAGCGGCACUCGCAAAAGGUGUACGCGUCGCCGAGCCGCCGCAAGAUGGACACGAAGGGCGAGGGCGAGGAGAUGACCUACCCCCACAUUUGCUUCAUGGUGGACAACUUCGACGAGGUGUUCUGCGACAUAGUGGUGCGCGACGGCGAGAUGGUGUGCGUGGAGCUGGUGGCGCGCGGCCGGGGCUGCGCCGCGCAGGCCGUCAUCUUCCUCGGCUCCAUCCGCUACGACAUCCUCACCAGGGUCUACGACUCCAGGCAAACGUCGCUGUCGACGAAGGUGGCGCAGCGCAUGUCGUUCGGGCUGCUGGGCGGCAAGACGGCGGCGCGUUGCGAGUUCGUGCGCAUGAAGGGGCCCAGCGGCAAGGGCCACGCCGAGAUGGCGGUGUCGCGGCCCCACGCCACCGGCCUCGACACGCCCUCCUCCGAGCCCGGCCUGCCCGCCACCGACAUGUGGGACAGCGACUGGGACGACGACCCCGAGGAGAUGUUCAUGUACAGGCACCAGCGCCGGCUGAGUGACCCGAGCGCGAACAUCAACAACUUCGUCCGCGGCGGGUGGCGCACGCGGGACUCGCGCGACAAGAGCCGCUCCGAGAAUGAGGGGCUGGACUCACUCGUCAACGGCAUCGCUGAAGUGGAGGCCGGUGACCUGCGCGACGGGCGGCGCGCGGACGUGUCGUCGCCGGCGUGCCUGGGCGCGGUGUCGCGGCGCGUGGCGGCGCAGCGCUCGGCGUCGGCGGACGCGUCGCAGCCGCCGCGGCGCCGCACGCCGGACGGCACGGCCGUGUACUACUGGUGCGACCUGCCGCGCCGCCACGCCGAGCUGGACGACGGCGCGUACAACCCGCUGUGGGCGACGCGCGGCUUCACGCAGACCUUCCACCUGUGGAAGGAGGGCAAGCGCCAGCAGUCCACGCCGCUCAACGCCUACCUCACCUACGUCACGCUGCCCUGGUGGACCAUCGCCAAAGACAUCCUGGACCACCGCGAGGAGCCGGUGCUGACGUUCUGAGUGUCCGACUGACCUCAACGUUUUGUACUCUGUACACACACCCUCACGACGCCGUGCGGACCCCAACCAACGCACAAACUUACUCUAAAAAUUCAUCGCCUUUAGUGUGUGUGAAUAUAAGCACACAUUAUGACUACAUAUCACAAACGUUGGCUUAGCUAUGGAUACUGUUCCUAUUACUGAAACGCUUUUACAGGAAUAUUGUUUAAUUUCAAGACUCACUCGAAUAAGCUAAUAAUAUUAAAGUUCUUGUUUGUUUGUGUGCUAGGCGUAAUGUGCCAUAUUUUUUGUACAUUCCAGAUAGAAAGGCCAGUAGGUUAUCAAACUGGCGUCUCGUGUAUGUUUGGGCGCCAUGUCUCUGUUACCAGGUAUAGUUUGUAAUGUCCUCUGAAAUUAUCCUUAAAAGACAAUUAUUAUUUUAUUUAUUUUACCACAACAAUGAACCUCGUACCUGUGUAAUCAUUGAACUUUAGAAUGAUUGACAUUCAUGCCAUGACCAGAAUAUGUGAUUACCUACUGUUAUUAAAAAAUAUUUGUGUUAAUUUGUAAGUAAAUAAGAUGAUGGAUACUAAAUUGUAUAUUAUGUGCGGCUGAUAGCCGUAACUAAUACUCUAGUCACUGUAUGUUUUCUAGUCACAGCUUAGAAUUAAGAUUAUUUAUUUUGUACACUGCCAUACUGUUCGGGGAAUGACAAAAUUAUUUGAAGUAAACUAAAAUUUGUUUGCUUGUUCAAUAAGUUGAAGCAUAAUGCUUCAGUAGACAAGUUACUUGAAUCAACUGAACAGUAGACUGUGAACGUUAUAAAACAAAUGACAUUAUUUUUGUAAUAGCUGUGAGAACUUUACGUCAUGUUAAUCGAAUUAGUUGAACAUAUUUUUGUAAUCAUUCUCACACAUGUGAAUCUCUCUCUAAAACUAUAUUCAUAAUUAAUCUACUUGUAAGUGGUACGUUAAUAAUACUGGAUUUGAAAUAAAUCAUAUGACGGAUGAUAAACUUUUGACCCAUGAGCAAUGAACAUGUUAUACAAAGUUGUCUGCAAGAAAUAGCAUAUUUUUGUAAUAAGAGUUAUAACGCAUUGUAACAUUAUGUCAUUAAGCCUUAAUUAGUGAGAGGUAUCAUUCCAGUCGCGGCAGUGUGACCUGUGCGGGGCCGGACAGUGCUGAACCGACGUGACUGACAAACAAUUGAAAUGGCAUUAGUAUUGACUGUAGAGCCCACAGACCAGUCCCGCACAUGAGCGCUGCUGUGGAACCAUAUAUUUAUAUUGUUUGAACUAUAAGCUAGUCAAGAUAUACUAAACAUGCAUAGUUUAAUAUUUGUAUGAUAUGACUGAAUUAAAUUAUUGUAACGGC